AGGCUAGGGAUCAAAUCAGAGCUGUAGCUGCCUCCCUACACCACAGCAACUUAGGAUCUGAGCUGCCUCUGGGUCCUACAACACAGCUCACAGCAAACCCAAAUCCUUAACACACUGAGCAAGGCCAGAGAUCAAACAUGCAUCCUCAUGGAUACUAGUUGGAUUUGUAACCCGUGGAGAUACAAUGGGAACUCCCUCCUCUGGUAGUUUGUAAUUUGGUUCUAGUUCACUUAAUCCUAGUCACGACUCACUCAGUAUGUUUAUGUUAACACCCAUAGUUUGAAAAACACCAUCCUAACCAUCUCUUGGAGCUAAUCCCUCUCUCCAUCACCACCGCUAUCUAAGUCCAGUAUCCCAUCACCUGCCAUGUGGAUGACUGCAAUAGCCUCCAAAGUGUUUGCUCCUUGAUCAUUCUUGCUCUCCUUCAGUCCACUGCUAGCCUUAAAACAUAGCCAGAGUAAAAUUUUCUCGAGUGAUCAUGCUCUUUCCACAGUCAGCACCCUUGAGUGCGCCUCUGUUUCUGCCGUAUGAAAGCCAGCUCCUUUUCUCUGCCUCCAGCAGCCAUAUCACAUGGCCUCCAUUUAUGUUCCUAGUUUGUCUCUGGUCAUUCCACCCUCAUUCUUUUGAAACUGGUCAUACUGAACUUCCAUGUCCUUGAACUUGCCAUAUUCUACCCUGAGUCUGAGUCUUUGUACGGUCAUUGUUUCCGCUGUUUGGAACACUCCCUCCUCUUCCCUUCAUUUAGUGCAGUGGUCUACAUCUACAGUAAGCAAAAGUGAGAUCCAGAAAUUCCUUGGGAUAAUGUAGAAGAAGGAUUUUAAAGACCUCUCUGAAGGGAUGUAGGAAGAGAUGUUGGAGUAACUUUAUCAUGUGCUACUCGCUCACUUUCCCCUAUGUGCUCUAAAGGAUCCAGAGGUGUCCUUCACCGCAGUGUUGCACACUACAUGGGUAAAGGGAAGGCAGGCAUGGUGGAUACCACUGGUGCCAGAUCCACUUCAUGAGGCUGAAACAUCUAUCACCCAGCUGCUCUGAGUGCUGGCUAUAGCCUUCUCCAUGGAAUUCCUUCCCACCUAACAGAAGCCAUUCAUCUUAGGCAUUACAUCACUCCCAUUGCUCUCCUAAACAGCCAGAGGCCAGAGACUGUCUGACACAGGGAAUCUAAGGCAGCUCCCUUUGUUUCAAAGUGCAGGUAGAUCUGUGCAAGGCUUCAGUACUAGGAACCAGGCUAAAAUUAGUGCCCAGCCAAGACCUCCUUGCUUAGCUUUCUUCUUGUGCUCUAUACUGAUUCUUUCACUUCCCUUUUCCUGAGAACACUAACCAGUAAGUUAUUUUCACAAAUAAACCCUGGCCAAGUUCUGCUUCUAGAUAACCUGAGCUAUGACCACUCACACCAAAAAAUACAAAGGUGGCUAUCCUCAGAGGGCUGGAAUGAAGGUGGGAGAAGGUGCUGUUGAAAUAGCCUCCUUGGUUCCACUGUGGAUAUUUAGAUUCCUGGGAUGGGGAGACCAAGGAAUAGCAGUUACUUGCCAGAAGCAAGGUUGGCCUGGUUUCCGUCAAGGGCAAAUGGCCAGAUGGUCUAUCAGAAUGGUUUGACCCUCAAGGACCUCUUUUGUUGACCGACUGGUCACAGAGUCCCUAGAACUAAGAUGGAUGGGCAGCUCACUAACACACUCCUGAAACUGUGUAGCUAGAAAAACCUCUAUCUCAGAAGAGAAGUGAGCUUGAAUUAUCACAGAAGGUCAAGGCCCCUCAGCUAAUAACCAAGCCUGAGAUGGUUUGCAGAUCUGAUGCUGUGUGAGUGGAGGGGUGUGAUGUGACCUUGAGGAAGGACCUGAUGAUAAAAUCACAAAAAUAUCUUCUAUCUGCCUCUUAGCUUCUCUCAGGGGCCUGCAGGCAGCCACCAGAGUAGCUGCACUGGGGGAGGAACAUGUCCAGCCAUUUAGGGAAUCGUUGGUCUUGACUCUUAAAAUGCCACUGUGGUUUACCAGUCAGAAUAUGAAAUCAGAUGGAAAUGGUGUUUUGGUACAAGCUCCUAUUUUGGUCCAUGUCCAUCACACAAUGUGUCUCAUGGUUCCAUCCUACUUCCCAGAUACUUGAGAGUUUAAUUAGAAAAGGUGAAAUUAGCUACUAACAGAGUCUCUACAUUGGCUCUCUGUCCUCUGCAGCAAGGCUUAUUUUUUUAGUCAAGGAGGGUAGAGUACCUUGGAAUAGCCCCCAUUAUGCCAAAACAGACAACCCAAAGCAUGACUUAGCAAAAGCCAGCUAUGUACAUGCACCAUCUUACCUAAUGUAUUGACCACCCUGUGAAACUGGCAUCAUGAGCUUCAGUUUAUAGAUGAGAAGCCUGAGCUCCAGAGAGACUGAAGAAUGUGUUCCUAGAAAAACCUCCGUUUCUCAAUUCCGCAGGGCUUGGCUGCCAUGAAGUUGUUGUCUGGUGCUCUGUGGCCCUGUUUCCACUUUACUAUAUUAUAAAUGUGCAAGGCUUUGGACCUGGGUUUUGGUUGUGACAGGGAGCCUUAAAGGAAAUGCUGGCCACCUCUGCUCUCUGAGUCCCUGAGGCUGGACAAGGAAUAGCAAGGGAGCCUUGAAACAGGAUGGCAAAGCACUGGGUACCAUAUUAGCUAUAGCCACUUCUAGCCAUCUCCUUCUCUUCAGCUCAGAAUUCUUUCAGAAAUUCUAGAAUGAGGUAGCCUCUCCAGUGAAAAUUUCUUGUACCAUGUGAGCCUUCCUGUUCUAGACUGAAUUGUGUCCCCAGCAAAAUUCGUAUGUUGGAGCCCUAACUCUCAACAUGACUGUACUUGGCGAUUUAAGGAGAUAAUAAAGGUGAAAUCAGGCCAAAUGGUGGAGAUUAAACCCAGAAGAACUGGUGUCUAUAAGAGGAAGAGACCCCAGAGCUGUCCUUCCCCACAGGCUCACCACUGAAAGGCCCUGUGAAGACACAGCAAGGACAUGGCCAUCUACAGGCCAGGAGGACAGCUUCACCAGAAACCAAAUGGCCCAACACCUUAAUCUUCCACCUCUAGCCUCCAAAACAGUGAGAAAGUACAUUUAGUUGCUUAAGCCACCCAGUUUGUGGUAUUUAGUUAUGACAGCCCUAGAGCACUAAAGGACUUCCCUUAGCCGGCCUGGAGCCAGCCUCUGCACGGCUGUGCUGUUUGACCACAGAGGCUGCCUGUUUGUCAACCCCUAGCAGAGAGUUUGUCAAGUACUUUACUCCCGAUGAGAUUUCUAGCAAGAGUGGUGCCGAGGACUCUUCUUUUUUAAUCGACAUUAUUAUUAUCAUGAAAAAUUAUAUUCUACACUUGCCUUCUGCUUGGAGACUGAUUGUGAGGCCUGCAAUGAAUUGUGGAAUAAUCUUCACUAAGGCAUAAUUAAUACACACUGAUUCAAUUAGUCAGAGCCCUACCCCCAUCCUGCCCUCUUUCUCUUGCUAAAAAAAAUUUACAUUUAUAUUAGUCAAGCAGGGAAUGUGAGAAGGGGAAUGAAAAUACUCCAGCACUUUUGAGACCCUUUUCUCUUUGUAUUAUGGCGUGUUUUCUCCCAGCCCCUGAAGCUUUUCAGCUCUCAAAUGCUCCAGGACACAAGAAAAGGUCUGUCGGCUGGAACUUUGCAAGGGGACAUGCUCUCCCAAACCAGAAAUCGGCCUGCUGGAGUUCCGCUUGUGGCAUAGCAGAAAUGAAUCUGACCGGUAUCCCUGAGGAUGUGGGUUCGAUCCCUGCCUUGUUCAGUGGGUUAAGGAUUUGGCUUUUUCCUGAGCUGUGGUGUAGGUCACAGACGAGGCUCAGAUCCCGCAUUGCUAUGGCUGUGGUGCAGGCCAGCAACUGUAGCUCCAAUUCAAUCCCUAGUCUGGGAA
RNAcentral lists this long non-coding RNA (3853 nucleotides) under Sus scrofa (pig). RNAcentral describes it as "lncRNA (ENSSSCG00000052023.1)". The record is from RNAcentral. Lineage: Eukaryota; Metazoa; Chordata; Mammalia; Artiodactyla; Suidae.